Molecule: unclassified non-coding RNA, 226 nt
Filed under: uncultured fungus
Lineage: Eukaryota; Fungi
Description: sequence contains ITS1, 5.8S rRNA gene
Source: RNAcentral
CAAAUCCAACGUCUCUCUUCGAGACACCGUUGAAACAGUGUGUGAGUGACCGAGGGUAGUUGGUGGUGGUGUGGUGUGAGGUGGUGCUGGUGGUGGUGGUGGGCGGGUGCGCAAGCGCUCGUGCCAACACCGCCACACCACAUCAUUGACCAUCAUCAUCAUCACCCUUGGCGCUUUCUACAAACUAGAAACCGUUGAUCAUCAGUACAUGCUCGUAACAAAGCAA